CCGCGGCAAGACGGAAAGACCCCGUGAACCUUUACUAUAGCUUGACACUGAACAUUGAGCCUUGAUGUGUAGGAUAGGUGGGAGGCUUAGAAGUGUGGACGCCAGUCUGCAUGGAGCCGACCUUGAAAUACCACCCUUUAAUGUUUGAUGUUCUAACGUUGACCCGUAAUCCGGGUUGCGGACAGUGUCUGGUGGGUAGUUUGACUGGGGCGGUCUCCUCCUAAAGAGUAACGGAGGAGCACGAAGGUUGGCUAAUCCUGGUCGGACAUCAGGAGGUUAGUGCAAUGGCAUAAGCCAGCUUGACUGCGAGCGUGACGGCGCGAGCAGGUGCGAAAGCAGGUCAUAGUGAUCCGGUGGUUCUGAAUGGAAGGGCCAUCGCUCAACGGAUAAAAGGUACUCCGGGGAUAACAGGCUGAUACCGCCCAAGAGUUCAUAUCGACGGCGGUGUUUGGCACCUCGAUGUCGGCUCAUCACAUCCUGGGGCUGAAGUAGGUCCCAAGGGUAUGGCUGUUCGCCAUUUAAAGUGGUACGCGAGCUGGGUUUAGAACGUCGUGAGACAGUUCGGUCCCUAUCUGCCGUGGGCGCUGGAGAACUGAGGGGGGCUGCUCCUAGUACGAGAGGACCGGAGUGGACGCAUCACUGGUGUUCGGGUUGUCAUGCCAAUGGCACUGCCCGGUAGCUAAAUGCGGAAGAGAUAAGUGCUGAAAGCAUCUAAGCACGAAACUUGCC
RNAcentral lists this ribosomal RNA (729 nucleotides) under Escherichia coli. RNAcentral's name for it is "partial 23S ribosomal RNA". It matches the Rfam family "Bacterial large subunit ribosomal RNA", at positions 2070 to 2798 of the family's 2925-position model. The record is from RNAcentral. Lineage: Bacteria; Pseudomonadati; Pseudomonadota; Gammaproteobacteria; Enterobacterales; Enterobacteriaceae.